Molecule: ribosomal RNA, 570 nt
Filed under: uncultured fungus
Lineage: Eukaryota; Fungi
Description: eukaryotic LSU rRNA
Rfam family: 5.8S ribosomal RNA (bases 208-361)
Source: RNAcentral
CGUAACAAGGUCUCCGUAGGUGAACCUGCGGAGGGAUCAUUACACAAAUAUGAAGGCGGGCUGGAACCUCUCGGGGUUACAGCCUUGCUGAAUUAUUCACCCUUGUCUUUUGCGUACUUCUUGUUUCCUUGGUGGGUUCGCCCACCACUAGGACAAACAUAAACCUUUUGUAAUUGCAAUCAGCGUCAGUAACAAAUUAAUAAUUACAACUUUCAACAACGGAUCUCUUGGUUCUGGCAUCGAUGAAGAACGCAGCGAAAUGCGAUAAGUAGUGUGAAUUGCAGAAUUCAGUGAAUCAUCAAAUCUUUGAACGCACAUUGCGCCCUUUGGUAUUCCAAAGGGCAUGCCUGUUCGAGCGUCAUUUGUACCCUCAAGCUUUGCUUGGUGUUGGGCGUCUUGUCUCUAGCUUUGCUGGAGACUCGCCUUAAAGUAAUUGGCAGCCGGCCUACUGGUUUCGGAGCGCAGCACAAGUCGCACUCUCUAUCAGCAAAGGUCUAGCAUCCAUUAAGCCUUUUUUUCAACUUUUGACCUCGGGUCAGGUAGGGAUACCCGCUGAACUUAAGCAUAUCA